RNAcentral lists this ribosomal RNA (505 nucleotides) under uncultured bacterium. Its description in RNAcentral is "partial 16S ribosomal RNA". It matches the Rfam family "Bacterial small subunit ribosomal RNA", at positions 30 to 523 of the family's 1533-position model. The record is from RNAcentral.
AUUGAGCGCUGGCGGCAUGCCUUACACAUGCAAGUCGAACGGCAGCACGGGUGCUUGCACCUGGUGGCGAGUGGCGAACGGGUGAGUAAUACAUCGGAACGUACCAUAUCGUGGGGGAUAACAAAUUGAAAAAUUUGCUAAUACCGCAUAAUACUCUGAGGAGGAAAGCGGGGGAUUCGUAAGAACCUGGUGCGAUUAGAGCGGCGGAUGGCGGAUUAGCUAGUUGGUGAGGAAAAGGCCCACCAAGGCAACGAUCAGUAGCAGGUCUGAGAGGAUGAUCUGCCACACUGGAACUGAUAAACGGUCCAGACUCCUACGGGAGGCAGCAGUGGGGAAUUUUGGACAAUGGACGAAAGUCUGAUCCAGCAAUGCCACGUGAGUGAAGAAGGCCUUCGGGUUGUAAAGCUCUUUUGUCAGUGAAGAAAACUUUAGUAAUAACACUAUUAAAGCAUGACGGUAACUGAAGAAUAAGGACCGGCUAACUACGUGCCAGCAGCCGCAGUAA